GGUGGAGCCCCGCGAGGGGGCGGUGCCGAACCCGGAGCUGCGUGGGGAAGGAGGUGAGGGCGCGCGGGGAGGAGCCGGGGGCGCGCUGGGUGGCGGGUGCUGGGGCCAGUCGCGCAUAGGUGCGGACUCGGGUUAGCCAGACUCUGGACCUGUGCGGGCUGGCGCGGGCGCCCUUCCCCACCCCGCGCGGACUUCGGAACUGGCCAAAGACGCGCAGGAGCCGUCGGCGGAGCGCGUUUCCACGGGGCGCGGAGCACAAGCGGAGCCCCGAGGAUGCGAGCCCUGCCAGCCCUGGACGCGCCCCAGAACGAGCGACUGCUGACCCGGGACCCCGCGGCCCCCAGGGUCCGGGACGCGGCGGGGCCAGCACGCAGGAGCGCCGUGGAGAGGCUGGCGGCCGACCGCGCCAAGUACGUGCGGGGCCCUCCGAGAGCCGGCGCGGGCCCAGCGGCCGCGGGCAGCAACCCCGCGGCGAGCGAAGGGACCGCGGGCGAUCCUCGGCCUCCGCCUCGCGUCCCCGGUGCCGUGGCGCGCAGGGCCAUAGCUCGGAAGCCGCUGAGGCCCGACUCGCUGGUCAUCUACCGGCAGAAAUGCGACUUCGUCCGAGGCCAGGGCGCCGACAGCUCCAGGGCGGGCCUGGUGAAGAAGCUCUUCCAGGGCCCGGGCAAGGACAAGACGUCGCUGCCCCCGGAGACGCCCCAGGUGGGAGAGGAGAUCGGGGCCAGGCGCGAGGAGCCUGUCCCGUCCAAGCCCGGCUCUGCGGCAGCCUCCGCGGCCCCCGGCGUUCCCGCGCCCCCGGCGCGCCCAGCACCCUGUGGGACGCCCUCCCCAGUGCCGGCUGCGCCCCGGGGCCCGGAGCUGCGAGGAUCGAGGCGCGGGGGGCUGCAGCGGUCGCAGUCAGACCUCAGCUCCCGCUACUCCGCGUCCUUGGCCGAAUGGGACACCUUCUUCCAGUUCUGCGGCCUGGAACCGGAGGUCGUGGAAGCUCUCGGGAGGGAGAACUUCUCCGCGGGGUCGGACCGCGUCACACUCAAGGUCCGCAGCGUGAGCGUCGCCACCUCCGACAGCGGCUUCUCCCGGCAGAGCGGCAGCGAGGCGGGGCUGCAGGAGGAAGGGCUGGCGGAGCAGGUGCCCAGCACCACCUCGGUGGUCGAGAGGAACGCCCGCAUCAUCAAGUGGCUGUACACCUGCAGGAAAGCCAGGGAGAAGCCCGGCCAGGCGCUGCAGGGCCCGGCGUGAUCGCUCGCGCUCUGCGGAGACCUGGACCCCAGAUACAGGACGGAGCAUCCGUGGACAUGCCCUAUAAGCUGGUGGGGUAGAGCGUGUCUCUUUGUUUGCGAAGAGGCCGUGGGGGAUAGGACAAGCUGAGAUGCUCCUGACUUUCUGCUCCUUUUGUUUGGACUAGCUGAGAGGCUCUCCAGUCUCCAUGUGAGAGCGCACUUUAGGGGAACCAGCAGCUGGAGCAGCUAGAAAGCCGCUCUGUUCUGUCUUCGGGCGGGCCCCUGGGCCUUUCAGAGAGAUUUGUGCAUGGAAAGGGUGGAACCCGUUUGCCUUCUCCUAUGUAUUUGGACCGCCUGCCUUGUUUUCAGUGUGUCAUUCCCCUCUGUGGUGGUGAGCAGCGGGCUGGCCUACGAGAAAGAUCACUUUUCUCACUGUCCCGUGAGUUGGAGGCAAACAGAAACUUCAAAAGUCCAGAAAAAGGCCUCAGGGAGAUGGAUGUUUUUUCUGCUGUAGAAACCAGAUACCUGUCUUUGCAAAGGCUACUGGCUUCUUUUCAGAAUUAAAAUGCAUACGGAAGUGAGGUUUCCAGACUGUGGGGGCUCCUUGAAGUAUGUCCUGGAUGACUGGGGACCCGGGGCCAUCCUCAGUGCCACAGGACUUGUCCCGUGCACCCAAGUGACCACACAAUUGCUGCUUUCCUGGGAAUGGAGCACCCCACUGAAGAGACGUACAGAGUUCAGAAGGUUUGAGAUAUGGUGGAGAAAGGGGACCUUGGAACUUGGAAAUCAGCUGAGUUGUAGCUGUUAAGACAGCUAGAGCUUGGGGAGGUACUUUCUUGUUUGAAGCGGAUCUGGUUUUGCUCCCAGAGGGCAGCAGAGGAGGGAAGGCUUCUUGGAAAUGUUUUCAGGGCUCUCUGUUUGACUGGCUUGGUGACAAAGAGGUACCAUGAUGCAUUGUAAUGAUAUUUAAAUUGAUUUUAAAAAGAAAAAAAAAGUCCAAGAGUAGGAAAGCCAAGCACAGAUACCAUAGCAUUUACUGCUUUUCAUCAGUCUGGGCUGCUGGGCCCCAAUUAAACCAAAGUUCUGUAGCCGUGAGAAGGUGUAUUGUACUUCAGCAGUGUGGGUAGCAGAGAGCAAACACAGUAACACGCUGUCAUGGACACCUCCGUUCUGAGCAUCACUGCCACCAAAACUGCAGAAAGUACUCUUAAAGUAAUUUUAGUAAUGCCACUCCCUUUGGGUUGCAGACGUGUGGACUGCCAUUGGAAGGGAAGUUGGAGUUGAUACUGCUAAAAAUGCCUUUUUGGGAGCUGGCAGGAGACCUAGGAGCUCCGUUCCCUGCCAGCAUGACAGUACACCUCCACAGGGCUCUGGUUCCCCAACUGCCCAAAGCUGGGAGAGCCCAGGGUCCACACAGCCCAGCUGUUUAACCCCCACCUCUGUGGAUCACACAGUCAUCCCUGGUUUGGCACCAGCUCACCCUUUUCUGCCCAGGAUGUGUCUGAGAUGCGGGGCAGCCUCAGGGCACCUGGCUUCUCCAGGAUCAGAACCCUGUGGGCAGGGAGUUACUGACUCUCGCCCACUCCUCACACCCAGACCACGUAGAUAUCAGAUUCAGAGCCUGUGGAGAGAAAUUUUAUAUCCAUGAUGACAACCCAGAAGACUUUGUAACCCAGCUGACUCUUCCAAAGCCUGCUGUGUUUUAAUGAAAUACAUGUCCUCAGGAACAACAUUAUUAUGGAGAAGAGUAUGGAGGGGAGAAAGAUGGUUUCUCAGUGGUAGAACAUUUUAUAAACCAAUGCAUUUUGAUAUGUUCAUGUACUUGUUUAAUAUUGUGUUCUAUUUUUGUAACUUCUACUGUGAGGGGGGUCUUUGAGCUACUUAUUAUUAUUAUUAUUUUUAUUUUGCAGUUACUGGUCUUUAGAUAGUUUGUCUUAACAUCGUAUGGUUUUAGUUUUUAUCAGUUUUCCAUCAUUUUCUCCGCGGUUGUGUUUGUGUGUGUCAUUUCAUUGGAUGUCCCACUCCUGUCUGUAAGCAUAGUGCUCCCUGCUCUCUGUACCAUAGUGAUUUGUUUUCAAGUAAGUCACACAUAGGGAUUUUUGGAGCCUCUGUUGGCCCGCUGAUGUACCUUUCUCAUCGUAGACUAUUUAAAGACAGCAGAUCCAUGCUUUAAGAAUUUCCCCCCGUUGUUCCUCUCAAAAGGCUGCUAUUUUAGGGUUCAAUGGAUUGCAGUUAGUUUAAAAACAUAAUGUCAAAGAUGAGAGUUUUUUUUUUAAAGGGUCUCUACAUAUGCCCAUUCCCUUACUUAAGUAAGGUGUUGCAUUAAUUGUACAUGUCAGUGCUUCGGGCAAACCUAUUUUGUGCCUUUCUACUCUCUAAGUAGGGUGAACUAGAACUAUCAUCAUAUUUGCCUUAGAUCGGAAUGGUGCAGACUCAUAAUUCAUAUAAUAGAUAAACGUAUAUAUAGACAAGCUGGUUGCGUUUAAAAACACCAAGAGCUUCCGGAAGGAUCUGUGUGUCCAAGGAGGUACGGGGAGGAAUUCAGCCACAGGGAGUUCAGAAGCAGAUGUCAGAGGCGGCUGCGAAGAGGAGGAACACGGCGUCCCUGGGCUCCAACAGGACCAGUGAUGCUCCCUUUCCUCCACUAAGAUUCGUGCCUCAGGGUCAGGUUCCACGUGUGUGGGUACAGGUUAAGAAGUCCCUUCUUAAUCCUGAAUGACCCCAGUUUGCUGAGUGACUUUGAGAACAUCCAACUUUGAAGCUCGGUCUGAAAACAAAUCUUGUAAUUGUUUUUCCCAAGGAUAGCAAUGGUUACUGCUAUGAAGUAGUUUCAUUUGUUCAUGAAAAGUAAUAUGAUUAAACACAAUGAAAAGAAAGAGUUAUUGAUAAAGCAAGGAAAAUAGCUAGAUAGUGUCUAUUUCUUUAAUAUAUGGCUACAGAUAAGCCGUGCCUCUGAGAGGUAUUUGUGUUACUGUAAAGUUUCCUCGUUGUGUGUAUAUCUGUUAAACCACUGGUCACUGACACUGAAGGAAGAAGGCUUUAUUAAACAUUGCCCUUUGCAGUAGGUUCAGAGUUCAGUGCCAUGGUUACGGUUGGUGAUGCCACAAAACAUCAGGCCCAGGCCGUUGUUACGGUCGUCUCAUAACCACUGCCUUGCUAGAGUGCAAUGGUAUGUAUUCUGUAUUAAAGAAAUAAAGUAUUUUUGUCAUUUAUUCCUGGUUAUGAAUCCAUGACAGAGACACUGAAGCUAGAGUGUGCAUAUUGUAGUCACUCACGUCUCCUGUGGUCUCCCUUUCUCCCCGAUGUCAGAUUAUCAGCUGAAAUGAGGAAGCAUCGUAGGCCGGUCCGGUGUAGGCAAGUCAGAGGGCGUGGAAGUCUCCGGCUCUCCCCGCAGAGCGAAUGCAGUCGAAACGGUCCGGGAUAUUAAGCACACUGUCUUUCUUUGUUUCAUCAGUCUUUUGCUCCAUAAUAUUUUUUACCCAUCUUUAUUAAUAUCAUAUUGGAAAAUGGGCACAAAGAUAAAUAAGAAAGCACAAUUUAUAAGCUUUCGUGUUAGUUAAUUCAUCAGAGUUUGAAGAGUUUGAAGGCAAACUCUGUGAACACCAAGUUUGCUCUCAGCAUCUGCUCAGACUGGAGAGGUAGGAGUGAGGCAGGAAGGGCGGCUGGAUCCCUAAACCCAGCCGUGCUGAGGUCAACUGGCUUCCUUUUCAGUCCUUCCGUGGCUUCUGCCCAAACCUAGGCCAGCCUCUAAAGACAGGCAUUCUUUGGAGAAGAAAUGAACAGCUCUGCAUUUCCAUGAAGACAAUGGACAACCCCCAGGCACCCUAGGAGUGGUCUUAGGUAGCUCUAGAAACAGUCCUGAUCACACAGCAGAUGCCAGGUCCUUCCUUCAGGUAAACCUGAGUUCUUACCUUUCAGUUACCCUUUGUGAAAACUCAGCAAAACAGAGGCAUCACUUAAAGUGAGGUGUUUAAACUUCGCUUGCAUUUUGAGUAAUGAGAUAGAUUUAUGUAUUUGAACGUUCCAUGUUGGAAACACUGAACAAGAAGGAAAUUGAGUUCUCAAGCAAGCUUAUCCUUCUGGCCACAGAAGUAGCAGGGAGCAGUGCAGAGAGAAAAUGCAGACACACCAAAAAAUGUGUUCCUACCCAGUGAUACUUUCUU
RNA transcript from Lutra lutra (Eurasian river otter), 5383 nucleotides. It is a transcript of the gene named family with sequence similarity 110 member C, with no coding region annotated. The record is from RefSeq and is a predicted model, not a curated record. The transcript is spliced from 3 exons. NCBI's taxonomy places the organism in Eukaryota, Metazoa, Chordata, Mammalia, Carnivora, Mustelidae.